This 703-nucleotide ribosomal RNA is filed under the name uncultured Actinomycetales bacterium. RNAcentral describes it as "bacterial SSU rRNA". It matches the Rfam family "Bacterial small subunit ribosomal RNA", at positions 63 to 781 of the family's 1533-position model. Lineage: Bacteria; Bacillati; Actinomycetota; Actinomycetes; Actinomycetales. The record is from RNAcentral.
CGAACGAUGAAGCCCAGCUUGCUGGGUGGAUUAGUGGCGAACGGGUGAGUAACACGUGAGUAACCUGCCCUUAACUCUGGGAUAAGCCUGGGAAACUGGGUCUAAUACCGGAUAGGAGCGUCCACCGCAUGGUGGGUGUUGGAAAGAUUUAUCGGUUUUGGAUGGACUCGCGGCCUAUCAGCUUGUUGGUGAGGUAAUGGCUCACCAAGGCGACGACGGGUAGCCGGCCUGAGAGGGUGACCGGCCACACUGGGACUGAGACACGGCCCAGACUCCUACGGGAGGCAGCAGUGGGGAAUAUUGCACAAUGGGCGCAAGCCUGAUGCAGCGACGCCGCGUGAGGGAUGACGGCCUUCGGGUUGUAAACCUCUUUCAGUAGGGAAGAAGCGAAAGUGACGGUACCUGCAGAAGAAGCACCGGCUAACUACGUGCCAGCAGCCGCGGUAAUACGUAGGGUGCGAGCGUUAUCCGGAAUUAUUGGGCGUAAAGAGCUCGUAGGCGGUUUGUCGCGUCUGUCGUGAAAGUCCGGGGCUUAACCCCGGAUCUGCGGUGGGUACGGGCAGACUAGAGUGCAGUAGGGGAGACUGGAAUUCCUGGUGUAGCGGUGGAUGCGCAGAUAUCAGGAGGACACCGAUGGCGAAGGCAGGUCUCUGGGCUGUAACUGACGCUGAGGAGCGAAAGCAUGGGGAGCGAACAGGAUUAG